RNAcentral lists this non-coding RNA (282 nucleotides) under Carlito syrichta (Philippine tarsier). Lineage: Eukaryota; Metazoa; Chordata; Mammalia; Primates; Tarsiidae. The record is from RNAcentral.
GCAAGGUCCACUGGGGCAUGCCUGCUCUUCCAGCUACUAGAGAGGCUGAGAUGAGAAAAUCACUUGAGCUCAGGAGUUCUGGGCUGCAGGGCACUAUGCCAAUCAGAUGUCCAUACUAAACAACCUCCCAGGAGUGGGAGACCACCAGGGUCCCUAAAGAAGGGUAAACCUUCCCAAGUCAGAAACAAGGUUAGUCAAAACUCCCAUGCUGAUCAGUAGUACAAUCAGCCUGUGAAUAGUUAUUGCUCUCUAGACUGGCCAACACAGUGAGACCCUCUUUCU